RNAcentral lists this long non-coding RNA (4134 nucleotides) under Manihot esculenta (cassava). Its description in RNAcentral is "long non-coding RNA (MESC_LNC012219)". The record is from RNAcentral. Lineage: Eukaryota; Viridiplantae; Streptophyta; Magnoliopsida; Malpighiales; Euphorbiaceae.
ACGUAGGCAGCCUUCGGGUGCGGUCGAAAUAUAAUAUAUAUUAAGACUUUAAUUAGCAAAUAGUAGCGAUGUAAAUUCAAGCCAUAUUAACAGAUUUUCAUGUUGAAUAAAUUACUUAUUGGAAAUUUAAUGAGUUUAAUAUGACUAAAAUAAUUAACAUACAAAUAAUUAUAUUUAUAAGAUUAUAGAUAAAAAUAAGCCACAAAAGAAAUCACUGAAUUAGCUAAGAUAUAGGAGAACAAUUUUGAUAAAGAGACCAUGAGUGAAUUAGACCAUUAAUAUUGCCAAAACCUGACUAUAACAUAGGAUAGAAGUAUACAGAAGUACCUAAAAUGAAUAACUUGGAAAGCUUGUCAAAGGAAUGAAAAUUGACAUGCGAAUAGGUGCAAUUUGUGAUAAAAAACAGCAAUUGAAAGGCAGUGUCACAGUCUAGAUACAAAACGUAAGUUGGCAAUUGAAAGGCAGUGUCGUAGUUCAGUUAUAAGGCAUAGACGAAGUGUCGCACCUAUCCCAAAUCCUCAUUCACUAGCAGACUAAAUGAAAUUAUUUCUUGAAAAAAUAAAGAAUAAUGGCAUAAAAAUCGAAAAUUUUAUUUCUUGGCACAAUAAAUUAGGAUUUAAAAAUAUUUGGCAAUUCUUUCCAAAUUUAAAUUGAAAGUGGGGGAGCAUUUGUCGGUAGCAGGCCAUAUUGUAUUUUUAUAUUACUCGAUGCUGGACUCUACGCUACACCUUGGAUAACCAAGGCGAGGUAUUAAUCGUUGGUUAAUUAAGGUAAAAUUCUUAAAUGGUGUAGAAAAACCUAAAACGCUCUCAUCGACGCCGUCGCUCGCUGCCGAAUUUAUUUUCCCCACUUCAUCCUUCGCACAAAAAGUUGGCCUUCUCGCUUUGCCACCAUUUUGGCCUCAGAAAAGGAGAUAUUGCCUUCGUGCUUUCUCCUAACUCUAUUCACCUUUCGGUCCUUUAUUUCUAUAUCUUCUCUCUCGGUGUCGUUACCUCUCCUAAAAAAUUAAUUAUCUUUAAACUUGUGAUUCUCCACCAAAUUCAGCUGUCGAAACCUGUACUUGUGUUCGUCACGUCGAAUGCUGCUCAUACAAUUCCUAAUCUCAAAACAUUCGUACUCGACUCUCCCGAGUUUGAAUCGCUGAUGAUGAGUCUAGCUCACUGUGGAGAAAUAGGAGGGAAGGUUUACCAAUUGGACCCUGGGACAAUUCUCUAUCCUCACGGACUACUGGUCGAGUUAAUGGAGUGGUUUUGGCUCAUCGAAAUUUCAGAUGCAUGGUGGCCCUAAGUCAUGCGGUUUACACGAGGUAGAUGGCAACUGCAACUUUCUUUUUUUCGUUGCCUUAUGUUCAUGUUCAUGGUUUAUGUUAUUUCGUGAGAGCUUUAACUAUGGGAGUGGCGGUGGUGCCCUAAGACAAUGCUGACAGUAAUUCAGGAGUGUAAGAUAGACUGCACCGGCGGUGGUGCUGAUAACUAAGGAUCCUAGGUUGUUAGACGGCUAAGAUUUUAGCUCUCUAGAUGUUGCAGGUUGCAGCGUUGCUUCGCUUAGAAAAAGCGUAGUUGAACUAUUCCGUGAGCAAUUUUGAAAUUUGACUUUAAGUCAGGUUAGUUAAUCACCAAAGUUAGAUUUUUACUAUUAACCGAUGGUUAAUUUCUCAUAUUGGUUAUUCAAUGUGUAGCGUAUGAUCCACCAUUAAGUAAUAAAAAAAUGCAGAUGGAACUUCACGUUAGCUACUGGCAAAUGCUCCCCCACUUUCAUUUCAAAUUUGAAUUGAAUCGCUAAAUGUUUUUAAAUCCUAACUUAUUGUACCAAGUAAAAUCAUAUUAAUUAAAAUGCAACAAUUCAUAAAGGUUUAAAUUUUUUAUGCCAUUAUCCAAAAAUAUAUUAAAUGUCAUGAAAUACAUGAUAGUAGUUAAUUGACAAAAUGAGAGAAGCACCAUGGUGCUUCUCCAUUUCAGUUAGUUAAAUAACCUUAUAGGGGUGUUGGAGUUAGUGGUAUUAGAGCAAAUGUGUAUACCUUAUAGGUUCAGGUCUGGAUAUAACUCUACUAUAGGCUUUUGUAAGUUGGCUAAGAAUGUUUUUUGACAUUCAACAUGUGCUAGAAGAUAGAGGUGAUAAUCUAAAGUCGUGAUCGCGAUAAUCUAUUCAAUGCUACAAACGUUUGUAUUGUAAGCUGCAGAUUGCAUUAUGGAAAUUGUAGCUUUGAGUGGAAAUUGUGUGCAUCACUUUUAAGAAUCUGCUAGGAUAUAGUAGAUGCCUUGUAUCUGAUGCAGUUGUACCAUGACAAGUUUCUAACUGCUAUGAUAUGACUUCAAAUAAAAGUUUAUAUCCUUUUAGAAUAAAAUACUAGAGAUAUUAGCAAUACGGUAUAGAAAAAUUCUAUGAGAGCGACAAUGUACUCAAAAAACAUAAUUGUUUUUGUGUUGUUUAUCAUUAAAAAGAGGAAUUUUAUAAAUAUUAUGACAUAAGAGAAAUGAAAAAACCGAGAGGUAUGAGUAGGUGAAAUAGGCUAGAAUAUGUUAGUGACCAAUUUUCUUGUUCACUUUUUACUGUGAUGAUUGUUUGAUAUCGAAACAUAGUCUUAACCUUUGAGAGAAAUAAAUUUGAAUUAUCAUAAUAACAUAUUCAAGAGUUUUAAAGAAAGUUUAAUUAUCUAAACAUUAUGUAAGAGGGGAUUGAAGAUACAAGGAGAAUACGCACAUAAAAUAAGUGAUAGUUAUGAGAUGGUAGGUGUGAUUAAGGGGUUAAUUUAUCUCAUUAAUGACAUAUUAGUUACUCUAGCUAGGAAAAAAAUAAGGAAGAUUGUAGAGUCUAUCCAACUUUUAAGAACAUGACAUAAAUAGUGUAUGAAUUACUAAUGUACUUUUUGAUAAAUAUUUCGAUUCAUCACUUGGAAGUGGAUAGAGUUGCCUUUAAGAUUAUAUUGAAGGUCUAUGUUGGAAAACCGAAUUAAUCACUGCAAUAGUUUAUUCUUUUUUCCUUUUUGGAAGUAUUUUAAUAUUUGAUAAGAUUAGAUAAAUUAUUUUGGAGGAAGUGAUACUAUUUGAGAUAAUAUUGUUGUUUAUUGAAAGUUUAGUUUUUAUCUAUAUUGGUGAUAUAGUUAGAUUUUAAACACUUUAAUCGGUACAAGUAAUUAUUAUUGAUAGAUUAUAUUGAUAUCUGUCUAUAUAUAAAUAUGUGUAUAUAUAUAUAUAUAUAUAUAUAUAUAUAUGUUUUGAAUAUUGGUAUUUAGUUUCUUAAUUGGAUUGUGCAAAGUUAGCUAUGAAAAUAUAAUUAUUUAUGUUUCCUUAGUUAUUUCCUGGAUUCUAGAUAUAACCCUUAUUCCUCCAAUAGAUUAUUGAAUAAAUGAAUAAGAUUAUUUUUGUAUAGCAUAGUGUGAUAUUGUGGUUGAUUAUUAGCAAGAAUAAAUUAUGUUAGUAUAAACUUUAUGUUAUUAUCUAUUGUUAAUAGCUACGUGGACGUGAUCCUCUAUUGGAGGUACGUAGGCAGCCUUCGGGUGCGGUCGAAAUAUAAUAUAUGUUAAGACUUUAAUUAGCAAAUAGUAGCGAUGUAAAUUCAAGCCAUAUUAACAGAUUUUCAUGUUGAAUAAAUUACUUAUUGGAAAUUUAAUAAGUUUAAUAUGACUAAAAUAAUUAACAUACAAAUAAUUAUAUUUAUAAGAUUAUAGAAAAAAAUAAAGCCACAAAAGAAAUCACUGAAUUAGCUAAGAUAUAGGAGAACAAUUUUGAUAAAGAGACUAUGAGUGAAUUAGACCCUUAAUAUUGCCAAAACUUGACUAUAACUUAGGAUAGAAGCAUACAAAAGUACCUAAAAUGAAUAACUUGGAAAGCUUGUCAAAGGAACGAAAAUUGGCAUGCAAAUAGGUGCAAUUUGUGAUAUAAAACAACAAUUGAAAGGCAGUGUCACAGUCUAGAUACAAAACGUAAGUUGGCAUUUGAAAGGCAGUGUCGUAGUUCAGUUAUAAGGCAUAAAGGAAGUGUUGCACCUAUCCCAAAUCCUCAUUCACUAGCAGACUAAAUGAAAUUGUUUCUUGAAAAAAUAAAGAAUAGUGGCAUAAAAAUCCAAAAUUUUAUUUCUUGGCACAAUAAAUUAGGAUUUAAUAAUAUUUGGCGAUUCUUUACAAAUUUGAAUUGA